This 440-nucleotide ribosomal RNA is filed under the name uncultured bacterium. RNAcentral describes it as "bacterial SSU rRNA". It matches the Rfam family "Bacterial small subunit ribosomal RNA", at positions 338 to 795 of the family's 1533-position model. The record is from RNAcentral.
CUUACGGGAGGCAGCAGUGGGGAAUAUUGCACAAUGGGGGAAACCCUGAUGCAGCAACGCCGCGUGAGCGAUGAAGGCCUUCGGGUCGUAAAGCUCUGUCCUAAGGGAAGAAUACUGACGGUACCUUAGGAGGAAGCCCCGGCUAACUACGUGCCAGCAGCCGCGGUAAUACGUAGGGGGCUAGCGUUAUCCGGAAUUACUGGGCGUAGAGGGUGCGUAGGCGGCCCUUCAAGUCAGAGGUGAAAGGCUACGGCUCAACCGUAGUAAGCCUUUGAAACUGUAGGGCUUGAGUGCAGGAGAGUAGAGCGGAAUUCCCAGUGAAGCGGUGAAGUGCGUAGAGAUUGGGAAGAACACCAGUCGCGAAGGCGGCUCUCUGGACUGUAACUGCCGCUGAGGCACAAAAGCGUGGGAAGCGAACAGGAUUAGAUACCCCGGUAGUC